Molecule: long non-coding RNA, 2088 nt
Organism: Malania oleifera
Lineage: Eukaryota; Viridiplantae; Streptophyta; Magnoliopsida; Santalales; Ximeniaceae
Exons: 2
Source: RefSeq, a predicted model, not a curated record
UCAAUGGUGUUGGCUUGGUUCAGUCUCAGUUUGCUACUUUGAAAAAUUGACGUGUUUGGUUCAGUUCUUGGUUUAGCCUAAAAUCAAAUCGAGCUAAGUAUAUUACAUCCCUACUAAAUGAGAAUUUCCAAAUUUGGUCUCAUUUUUUUUAUUAAACUUAAUGACACUUUAUCCAUCUCUGAAUUCACUAAAUGGCAUACUAUUACAUGUAGUAAAUAAAUUUGUAUAAAAUAAUUUUAUUGAUGAAAACAAUCCUUCUCUACUUCGUAUGAGUUUUCUUCUAGGAAUCAAAAUCUUAGCUAAAGCAACUGCCAGUGGUAUACAUGAGUUUUUUUUUUUUUUUUUUUUCCUUUUUUGUUGUUUGCUUUGCAGGGCAGAUAGCGAUGCUAAUUACCUUAAUUCAUAUGUCCUUUAUUUUUUCUACAAGAUUAAAUCGUCUUUCAUUUUUGUGAUAAUAGAAUAAUGUUUUAGGGAAUUAGUGGGGAUCAUGAAUUUGGGAUGUCAAAAUUUGUUGGCAUGUCCCCACAUAAGUGGGUCCCAUGUGGGGUGCUACACAAACCGCAUUCAAAAAAUUUGAAAGGAGCCCUGAUUCAUAUGCUACAUCAAUGAUUUAUAUAAGGACAUUCCAUCAUAAUCUCAUAGGGUUAGGUUUAAUUUAAUGAGGAGUUUAGGUUCAAUUAAGCACUAUUCAAGAAGUUAAUGUUCAAUUGAGUCUUAACUGGGGACGUUGAGUUGCUUGUGACUUGUUUUAAUGGCUCAUGAAAUGAAAGUGGGUUAAGUUUUGUGGUUUGGGUUUGAUGUUUUUGUGAACUGUGCAUGUUUUUAUGUUUCGUGUGAAUUUGGAGUUUUGAAUCCGAUGGACUUGUGUGUGUGCUACAGGUGACAUGCUAGGAAGACAAGAGCUUGAAGAUGAAAUUUGAGGAUUUUAUUAUUAUGGAUGUGAAGUUCAUAUUUAAGAAGGUGGAGAUGUAAUGCAUGCACAUAGUGAAUGAACCCCUUUUUUCAAUUUUAUUUAUGAAGAAAUGGGAGGAAAAGAGCGAUAAGGGGUAUGGAAUCAAAAGGAAAAUAUGCCCAAUGAGAGAAUACCUACCAAUAUUUGCCUUUGAACAUCCCAUUAAGAUAGGAGGUAAAAGAACGCCCGUGGAGGUGAGAGUAGAGGGAUAACACAAGGUCCCCUACAAGCGAUAGGGACGACCUCCGAUGGCACAAACUUGUUAAUUUUGCUAACUCCCCUAAAAACAUAAUUUUUAAAUAUUUUUGAGGAAAAUGAAAAAUGAAUUGAGACCCUUGAAACUCUUUUUUUGAAAAAAAAAAUAUUAAAAAUCAAGACAACUCAUAUCAAUAUUUGAUUUUGCCAUAUGAUGUCCAAAUAAAAUUAUGUGCCUAUAAAAAAUACGUACGUAUCAUUUGAUAAAUCUUAAACUUUAAAUAAUAAUAAAAUGGGAUAAUAUUAGAUUAUAUAAGGAAAUUUAUUUUGAAGGCUAAACUAAGCAUAACCCUUAUUUUCUACAAUACUAAGGUUUCAUUCGGAAAAGACAUAACACAAGGUAACAAACACACAAUACUAAGGUUUCAUUCGGAAAAGACAUAACACAAGGUAACAAACACAUAGAAAUAACAACAUAGCAACAAUAAUAGCAACCAACUAGAGUUUUAGAAGGUAAAACAACUACCAUAACAUAGGGAAAUGUGAGAAACUAUGGUGGGGGAGGUGAUGGGGUAAGAGGAGGGGGAUGGGGGAAGUAACGUAAGAGUGGGAGCUCGGAUCUUUGCAAUGGUGGUAGAAAUGGAAGUGGCGACAAAGGCGGCAAUAGACUUUUCACCUCCUCUAAGUCCAUUCUUCCCUGCAUUGCUCUUGCUCCAUCCUUCUCCUUCUCUUCAUUUUCAAUACUUUCCCUUACUAUUUUCUCAACCUUUUCUCCAUAUGUUGAUGCUUUGAGUUGGCGAGCAUUAUUAUAUUGCAGAAGAUGAUGACUAUGAUUACCAAGCUCACCAUUAUAACCCACUUAUGGACCAUCCUAUUAUAGCUUUUUGAAUCCAUUUUCAAAAUCCAAAUUGCUAAAGAAAGCUUGAUAAAGGAUUUAUCUU